RNAcentral lists this ribosomal RNA (650 nucleotides) under uncultured bacterium. RNAcentral's name for it is "bacterial SSU rRNA". It matches the Rfam family "Bacterial small subunit ribosomal RNA", at positions 42 to 737 of the family's 1533-position model. The record is from RNAcentral.
UCAGGCCUAACACAUGCAAGUCGAACGCCCUCUUUAUGAGGGAGUGGCAGACGGGUGAGUAACGCGUGGGAAUCUACCCAGCUCUACGGAACAACACAGAGAAAUUUGUGCUAAUACCGUAUACGCCCUCCGGGGGAAAGAUUUAUCGGAGUUGGAUGAGCCCGCGUUUGAUUAGUUAGUUGGUGAGGUAAUGGCUCACCAAGGCGACGAUCAAUAGCUGGUCUGAGAGGAUGAUCAGCCACACUGGGACUGAGACACGGCCCAGACUCCUACGGGAGGCAGCAGUGGGGAAUAUUGGACAAUGGGCGCAAGCCUGAUCCAGCCAUGCCGCGUGUGUAAUGAAGGCCCUAGGGUUGUAAAGCACUUUCAACGGUGAAGAUAAUGACGGUAACCGUAGAAGAAGCUCCGGCUAACUUCGUGCCAGCAGCCGCGGUAAUACGAAGGGAGCUAGCGUUGUUCGGAAUUACUGGGCGUAAAGCGCACGUAGGCGGAUUAAUUAGUCAGGGGUGAAAUCCCGGGGCUCAACCCCGGAACUGCCUUUGAUACUGUUAGUCUAGAGUUCGAGAGAGGUGAGUGGAAUUCCGAGUGUAGAGGUGAAAUUCGUAGAUAUUCGGAGGAACACCAGUGGCGAAGGCGGCUCACUGGCUCGA